This 207-nucleotide ribosomal RNA is filed under the name uncultured bacterium. RNAcentral describes it as "partial 16S ribosomal RNA". It matches the Rfam family "Bacterial small subunit ribosomal RNA", at positions 568 to 774 of the family's 1533-position model. The record is from RNAcentral.
UCCGCAGGCGGCCGGAUAAGUGAAAGGUGAAAUCCUUCAGCUUAACUGAAGAACUGCCUUUUAAACUGUUUGGCUUGAGGUUGGAAGAGGAGAGCGGAACUGCUAGUGUAAGGGUGAAAUCUGUGGAUAUUAGCAGGAACGCCUGUGGUGAAGACGGCUCUCUGGUCCAAUCCUGACGCUCAGGGACGAAAGCUAGGGAAGCAAACA